UACGGGGGGGGCAAGCGUUGUUCGGAAUUACUGGGCGUAAAGGGUGCGCAGGCGGCUCCGCAUGUCGGGCGUGAAAUCCCCGGGCUUAACCUGGGAAUUGCGUCCGAAACUAUGGAGCUGGAGUGUGGCAGAGGGAGGUGGAAUUCCACGUGUAGCGGUGAAAUGCGUAGAGAUGUGGAGGAACACCGAUGGCGAAGGCAGCCUCCUGGGCCAACACUGACGCUCAUGCACGAAAGCGUGGGGAGCAAACAGG
This 253-nucleotide ribosomal RNA is filed under the name uncultured bacterium. RNAcentral's name for it is "partial 16S ribosomal RNA". It matches the Rfam family "Bacterial small subunit ribosomal RNA", at positions 524 to 776 of the family's 1533-position model. The record is from RNAcentral.